GGCUGGUCCAGUGCAGUGAUAUUUACAACUAAUUGAUCACAACUGGUCACAGAUUCCUUUGUUCCUUCUUCACUCCCAUUGCUUUACUUGACUAGCCUUAA
RNAcentral lists this Y RNA (101 nucleotides) under Propithecus coquereli (Coquerel's sifaka). RNAcentral's name for it is "Y RNA (ENSPCOG00000007520.1)". It matches the Rfam family "Y RNA". Rfam says of the family: Y RNAs are components of the Ro ribonucleoprotein particle (Ro RNP), in association with Ro60 and La proteins. The Y RNAs and Ro60 and La proteins are well conserved, but the function of the Ro RNP is not known. The record is from Rfam by way of RNAcentral. Lineage: Eukaryota; Metazoa; Chordata; Mammalia; Primates; Indriidae.